Molecule: long non-coding RNA, 242 nt
Filed under: Lathyrus oleraceus (garden pea)
Lineage: Eukaryota; Viridiplantae; Streptophyta; Magnoliopsida; Fabales; Fabaceae
Description: Pisum sativum (pea) long non-coding RNA (PSAT_LNC039366)
Source: RNAcentral
UCCUUUGCAGACUACCAUUCCAUCACAUCAAUUUGAGCUUUUAUCCAAUUAUUUGCACUCUUAUUUGUUUCGACUCAACAAAUGUUUUGCAUGUUUUUAAUUGAUAAAGUAUCAUUGUUUUCAAAAUAAACAAAUUUUUCAAAAAAAUUAUUCUUAAACAAAGUGAACAUUCACGAUGAUGGAAGGAUACUUAGGAGAUCCGCAGUGCUCUCCCGAGGGUGGUAUGAUUACCAACAGGUAAG